Molecule: ribosomal RNA, 199 nt
Filed under: uncultured bacterium
Lineage: Bacteria
Description: partial 16S ribosomal RNA
Rfam family: Bacterial small subunit ribosomal RNA
Source: RNAcentral
ACUCCUACGGGAGGCAGCAGUGAGGAAUUUUUCGCAAUGGGCGAAAGCCUGACGAAGCGACGCCGCGUGGAGGAUGAAGGCCCUCGUGGUCGUAAACUCCUGUCUAGCGGGACGAAAGCAUCCAGGGUGAAUAAUCCUGGGUGUUGACUGUACCGCUGGAGGAAGCUCCGGCCAACUCCGUGCCAGCAGCCGCGGUAAU